GCCGAAGUGGCGGAAUUGGAAGACGCGCUGGAUUCAGGGUCCAGUGGCCUUCGGGCCGUAGGGGUUCGACUCCCCUCUUCGGCA
This 84-nucleotide transfer RNA is filed under the name bacterium. RNAcentral's name for it is "tRNA-Leu". It matches the Rfam family "tRNA". From Rfam's summary of the family: Transfer RNA (tRNA) molecules are approximately 80 nucleotides in length. Their secondary structure includes four short double-helical elements and three loops (D, anti-codon, and T loops). RNAcentral also lists the same sequence under 1 other name. The record is from RNAcentral.